GAGAAUUGUUUUGGGGUCACCGAGCUCCCCUUGAAUGGCUGCAGUUAGUCAAAGUUCUGCAUCUAUCAGAUAAUUGCAUAAAAGAAUUCAAAAUUUUCUUAUCUCCAGAAUGCAGAAAGAAAAUAGGAGCAUCUGCUAUUGGCAAAAGGCACUGAGAGCACUAGCAGGCUUCUGGAGAAAACUGCUGCUGAGAUGGGAGCACUUCCAGCUCACAGGAAUUUCAAGAGACUGAGAGGACACCUCUUUCAGCUUUAUGCAGCCCACUGAAAAAUUAUCUUAUUUCCCCCUUGAUGGUGUUUGCCUCUAGAUUAUAAAUAAUAAAUCAGACCUCUUUCCCA
Long non-coding RNA from Passer domesticus (house sparrow), 338 nucleotides. RefSeq lists it as uncharacterized. The record is from RefSeq and is a predicted model, not a curated record. The transcript has 2 exons. Lineage: Eukaryota; Metazoa; Chordata; Aves; Passeriformes; Passeridae.